AGGGACUUAGGUUAAACGUGACAAGACCAAGAGCCUUCAAAGCCCUAAGCGAGAGUUAAAACCUCCCAGACCCUG
RNAcentral lists this transfer RNA (75 nucleotides) under Odontobutis sinensis. Its description in RNAcentral is "tRNA-Trp". It matches the Rfam family "tRNA". From Rfam's summary of the family: Transfer RNA (tRNA) molecules are approximately 80 nucleotides in length. Their secondary structure includes four short double-helical elements and three loops (D, anti-codon, and T loops). Further hydrogen bonds mediate the characteristic L-shaped molecular structure. tRNAs have two regions of fundamental functional importance: the anti-codon, which is responsible for specific mRNA codon recognition, and the 3' end, to which the tRNAs corresponding amino acid is attached (by aminoacyl-tRNA synthetases). tRNAs cope with the degeneracy of the genetic code in two manners: having more than one tRNA (with a specific anti-codon) for a particular amino acid; and 'wobble' base-pairing, i.e. permitting non-standard base-pairing at the 3rd anti-codon position. Lineage: Eukaryota; Metazoa; Chordata; Actinopteri; Gobiiformes; Odontobutidae. The record is from RNAcentral.